RNAcentral lists this microRNA precursor (59 nucleotides) under Gekko japonicus. Its description in RNAcentral is "Gja-Mir-137-P3_pre stem-loop". It matches the Rfam family "mir-137 microRNA precursor family", at positions 8 to 67 of the family's 72-position model. The record is from RNAcentral. Lineage: Eukaryota; Metazoa; Chordata; Lepidosauria; Squamata; Gekkonidae.
ACGGGUAUUCUUGGGUAUAUAAUACGGAUGGCGUUGUUAUUGCUUGAGAAUACGCGUAG